GUCAGCCCGGCCGGCAGCACCACCCCGAAGCGGAACAACAUGGCAGCGUCACCUCCCGGCCGCCCGAGGGACCAGACAGCCCCCGCUUACUUCCGCGUUCUGUCGUCAUCACGUAAACGCGUGGCGAACGGAUGCAUAAAUUAAUUGGACAGCACUACCCAGAAUCAAAGAAAGAUUCUUUACUGAAAAUUUCAACAACUAUUAUCUCUUUUUUUAAAGAAACACCACAAAGUGAACUCAGGGGUUUAAAAUGUGAUGUUAAAAUGAUUGUGCUAAUAAUAGGAAACUGAAGCUAAUGAACUGCCUAGACCAAUUAAUGAGGCACAGACCCAACUCCUGUAAUUAAAGUCUAAUUGCAUGACUUAACUAUUUCAGAUCUCUGUUUGCUCUAAUCUAAUGAAACCACAGUAACAGAGAAAAGUAGAGAAUUUAGCUUUUAUAUGCGAUGUCUGGGGGAAGACUAUUAAGCAAAUUAAGAAGCUGGUUAUCACAUAAAACUUCAUUGAUAAAGAGAGAAACAUUGUUUUGGCGCUAUUGCAUAGCAGAAAUAAUAACUCCAGAGGUUGCUGUAACUGUUUGCUGCUGGUUUAUGAUGUAAGAGUAUAUUUUGUGCAGGAUAGAUUAUAAAAAUUAUGACAAGAAUAUCCAUUUUAGUAAGUGCACUUAAUCUUGAGAUUUAUUCUGUGAUAUUAGAUAAGCAAUCCCUUGUGUUUAGCUCUAUUAGUAUUAUUUAAAAGGAAGCAUAGGGUAGUAUGAAUAUGCAGUAACAUUUUUAUAGAGUAAAUAAUUUGCUACUGUUGUCAGUAUGUAUUUGAUUUUCUAGAAGCCUAUAUCUGUAAUGAAAUGCCAAAUCUAAUAUAGACAUUGCAGGACUGUUAAAAUCCUAUGAAAAUAUUCCAGCCAAUUUGAAUUUUGCAUGUUUGCAUGUAAUAGUGCAUGUAAGUCAUAGCAAGAGCUGAUAAUAAAACUUUCCCCUUAAGAGUCUAUCUCAAGACUUAAAUCAAAUCCUAACAGCUUUAAUCAAACUGAAUUAUUUUUACAUUAUAUUGACUUAACUGAUGUCAUGGCAAAGACCGUCUGAGCUCAUUAGGCUCAGCUGUGCAAAGCUUAUGUGAUGUUACUGGCUAUUUGUGAAGAUGUAAGAAAUUAUUGAAUAAAUUAUACUCUGUGUCUGCA
Long non-coding RNA from Chelonia mydas (Green sea turtle), 1176 nucleotides. RefSeq lists it as uncharacterized. The record is from RefSeq and is a predicted model, not a curated record. The transcript is spliced from 2 exons. NCBI's taxonomy places the organism in Eukaryota, Metazoa, Chordata, Testudines, Cheloniidae.